UACGUAGGGGGCAAGCGUUGUCCGGAAUCAUUGGGCGUAAAGCGCGUGUAGGCGGCUCGGUAAGUCUGCUGUGAAAGUCCAGGGCUCAACCCUGGGAUGCCGGUGGAUACUGUCGAGCUCGAGUCCGGAAGAGGAGUGUGGAAUUCCUGGUGUAGCGGUGAAAUGCGCAGAUAUCAGGAGGAACACCAAUGGCGAAGGCAGCACUCUGGGACGUGACUGACGCUGAGACGCGAAAGCGUGGGGAGCAAACAGG
Molecule: ribosomal RNA, 253 nt
Filed under: uncultured bacterium
Lineage: Bacteria
Also listed under: 2 other names
Description: partial 16S ribosomal RNA
Rfam family: Bacterial small subunit ribosomal RNA
Source: RNAcentral